This is a long non-coding RNA of Grus americana (Whooping crane), 456 nucleotides long. RefSeq lists it as uncharacterized. The record is from RefSeq and is a predicted model, not a curated record. The transcript has 3 exons. NCBI's taxonomy places the organism in Eukaryota, Metazoa, Chordata, Aves, Gruiformes, Gruidae.
CUGAAAUGAGCUGUGAUCUGUUGCUCACCGCUGGUUCGGGAGCAUGGAAUGUUAUCAAAUCACAGGCCAUUUACGUCUGCAGAUGUGGUAGCAUGCCUUGAGGACAGGGCAUUUGCAGGGAGCAGGGGAGCGGGUGCCUUGGCCCUGCUGCCUUUCGUGCUGCUUGUGGGAGGCUUUUCCCCCAGGCAGGAGAGAGGAGCUCCCUCUGCCAUUCAACCUUCUGCUCCUGCACCCCCGAAUCUGCCCCGGUUCCGCAUUGGCCUGGGUCGGGAGGACAGUCAGCUGGUGACGAUGGUGGCAUGAUGCCGGGGAAGUCCUGGUCUGGGCAGCCUGAACUGAGGUGCCUCCAAGCUGCCCCGUGCUGGGUCAGACCUUUCCUGCAACAGCCAAGCUGGCCGUGAGCAGCGGGACUCCCGAGGGCACACCAGAGCCGGGCUCACCGCGCACAGACAGGCC